Molecule: long non-coding RNA, 4379 nt
Filed under: Homo sapiens (human)
Lineage: Eukaryota; Metazoa; Chordata; Mammalia; Primates; Hominidae
Description: HSALNT0352108
Source: RNAcentral
CUGGCUGAAACAUGCCACAUAAUUAGAUUUUCUUUUUCUUUACCUUUUCUUUCUUAUUUUUAUAAGAGGCCCGGAAUUAGCCUCUUCGACUGGGGCGGAGUAGCUGGGGUGUGGGAAAGGAACACCUUCAUACAACUUCCAGCUUUCAGCCCCUUGGAGAGAUUUCCAAAUUCCCCAGAGCCUCUAGGACUUCCUUUCCUCGAUCUCUCGGCCACCUCCUCCUCCUUCUCCGAUCUGUUUUUUUUUCCCUCCUCCCACUGUCUUCUCUAUGGUUUAAUCAAAGUUCAGCGACUCCACUUGCCUCUCCUCUCAUUUCUUUCGGAAAGGGGAAACCAGACGACCCAGCGGCCACGGGACGAGUCGCCCCAACUCAACCCCAGCAGGACGCUGGAGGGGCCUCCCUUGCCCACCUCUCUUCGCUGGCACUGGCCUCCUGCACCCGGGUCUGCAGUCCCUCCGCCAUCUCACAAGUGUGCAGCCGCUAGGCCUGGGGGAUCCGAAUGACUGGGGCUGGAUAGGAAUGCCUUCGUGUUUCCCAAGACCCCCGGGCCUGCUCCACAAAGUUUGAAGGGUGGGUACACCCCGACCCAGGCAAGUUACUCCCCCAAACCCAUGACUGACUAAUCUGAUAUGACAAAAGCCCAUGAUGGAUUUGGUAUAUGUUAAUUCACAAUGCCCUUUCCUCCAGAAUUUAACUAUAAGUUAAUACACACCGGAAACCACGCGCAUGCACGCUCCUUAAUGGGCUUAGGUAUUAGCGAGUCCUAACGAUGCAUACAAAUGUGCUCUGCGCUCUGUAGACCCCUCAAGAUUUAUGGGCCUUGAGCUCUCUGAAGCUGUAAACAAGGAGAAAAAAAAAAGAGAAAGCGAAAGCGACUGGGGGGAAGAGACAGAGGCCUGACUCGCCCCUCCAGGUUUUGGAGAGAAGGGAUUCUUUAUGUAUUUUCCUUUCCUUGCAAGCUCGGAGCCCCUGUUUUAAGAAGGAGGCCAAAUGUGCAGGCUCAGGCCAAGCAGCAGAGAUGAAUGAGGUGAUGACCACAGCCUUGAUCCGGCAGGAGCUCAGAGAUGCCCGGGAAGACGGGGGGCCCGAAUGGAAGCAGAAAAACACUUAUGGCCGCUGGGAAGUUGGGAGAGCCAGGCUGGGACUCCGGCAGGCCCAGGGAAAGUUCCCCUUCUAGGCUCUUUAUUAAAAAAUUUAAAAGGAGGAGUUGAGGCGCCUUGAAUUUUCCUUCGCGAGUUUGGAGACCAGCCGAUUUUUCACGAAGCAAGCAAAGACCGCGGUCCCGGAUCCUGCAACAUAUACCUCAUUUUCUCCAGGUACAGUUUUCUGGUCAUUUAAUUGGUUUGUUUUCUUGGGGGAGAUGGGAAUCACAGGCGUAGAGAUAGUAAGUUGGCUAGAGAGGAAGCCACCCCACAGUUUCGGGUCUAACGAAAUCCCUCCUUUAAAAACAUUUGUACCCCCAAUAAAAAUAAAAUUAAAGAGGAAUAUAGAAACACAAAUUAGCCAACUUUUUUAAAAGAGAAAAAAGAAAAGAAAAUCAUCGUAACAGAUGAGCGUGAGAACUUCUAAAAAAUUUGUCACGAACCCUUUCAGAGGUCUGGAUUCUUUUUCAGUAGCCGGUGACCCAUUUGGUCUGAAAAGAGAAAUACACUAUCCACUGAGUCACUUAUUUAAAGCCAGCACACACACACACACACACACACACGCACACACACACACACACACACACACACACGCACAUUCAGAAAGCCCUGGGUGCCCUCGCAUUUGAAAACAACACCGGGUGGAGGACGCUGCGAUACCUAAUUGGACAAAACAGCAAUAAAAUAAGACCAGUGGAAGUGCUGAGCACAGGGCGCAGGGCUAGGGCCCAGGUUUUGUGUUCCAGGCCGAGGGCGAGGCAGCGGCCCCGGGAGAUGGGGCGCCGGGCAGUCAGGCACCGGCUGGCGACUCUGCUCGGCCUCCGCAGCCCGGCCUGCAGCCCCUUACCCCCAGCCUCUGGGCCUCGUGGGCUCUCUACGCUCCGACGCCUGUUCGGGGCUUCCCUGUUGAGAGGGUUUUAGGCCGAAGGGCUGAACGACUCAAGCCAGACUCUGCUUUUUCAUUUUUCUCCCUUAGGCCUCUCCACUUGCCCGAGCUCUCAGCCACCAGGAGACAGACGGAAGGGGCUUCUGGGCUGUGUUGGGAGCGGGCAUUGUCCCCUACCCACUCCUGCACAGUUUCCCAAAGUCCAGCCACCUCCGACCCUCCUUGGGGGAAAAAAUACCAGUACCCAGACACCUCUGCACCCUGUUAUAUGACUGGGCUUGCUUCAGGAAUAUCUUACAAAGAAGAAGGAGGAGGAGGAGGAACGGCUUGGAGUCAUGUUUACAUCUAGUUCUACUGAUCCGUUCACAUCUGGAGAGUUUAUUUAUAACUCCCUCUAUAACUCUCUGUUUGGAGGCACUGGUGGCUCUACUGACAGACUGAUGUCUAGGAAAUAUUGCUCUAUGUCUAAUGGUACCUAAAUGUGCUGUGGUUGUAUUUACAGAUUUACGUUUGAGGGAAAUAUAAUUAUUUCCAUUGUAUUUGUGCAUAUACAGUAGUUAUAGGAGCAGAUUUAUAUAUGGGAAAAUAUGCGACUCCCUUACAGCCAUCCGGCUUUAUGUACAUUUGAUAUCCUGACAGAUUUAUAUCUCUGAACAGCUAUAUAGAUAAAAACGUAUAUUGUUAGAAUUAUGUAUCAGGAGAUAUAUACUUAUUGAUUGCGAAAUAGAGUAGUUAGAGCAUUCACUUAGAGCCAUAUAUGGCUAUGGAGAUAUUUCUAUAUUAUUAUCACUGUAUAUAGGCAUAUCUAUUUAUAACUGCAUAGUUAUAAAAAUAGACAUAAGUAAUUAUAGUCCUAUAUGUGCAUGCUGCAAUCUCUCUCUAGAGUUAUAGACACUUUCAAAUAUAACUCUAUAGAGAAAUCUGUAUGUAUAUAAGGUGUAAUUAUCCAGUGAUGUGUUUACGUUGGGACUUAGGCCCAUCUGUCUAGAACAGACACAUUUAUAUGUAGGGGCUGGGAGAGACUUAUUCACAGAUAUCUGCAGAGGGCCGACUGGAAACACUGUAUCUGCCCUCUAGGAAACCAGCUAGGAGAGUUGUGUACUUAUGGAGGGAUGGAGUUACAAAAGGGUAAAUAGAGCUCAGGGAGCCUUAAGGAGGGGAGGUGAAUGGAGGGUGGGUGGGCUCGGUUUGAACAGAUAGUGGGAGGAAAGGGGUAAACACCAGCACCCACCAGAAGGCGAGAACCAGUUUUGUGAGGGGCUGGUGCAGAUGACUGUGGACAAGGAGCUUGUAAAAUGAGAAGCGGCUAACAGUCCUGCCACCUCACCCUGAGACACUCUCCACCGAGGAAGCAGCCUUCAGUUUGGCUUUUAGUGCACUGUAGGAUAGGGACUGUCGUGUCACUCCUGUAGUCCUAGAGCGUUUCUCUUGAACCUUAAUUUUUAGGUCUUAAAGAGUGGGCUUCAGAGAUAAAGAGGUUUCGGCAGGGACAGGGCGAGGAGCGUGGGGUGUACUUUCGCUUUCCAAUAAGUAAGGUAAUCCAGGAAAGUGAGUUAAUUUGGCCAAAUAAAGCUUGUUUUUAUGUGGGCCUCCUGUGCCCUGGUGGGGAUGUAGGAUGGGACCAGAAUCUGGUGGACUGAGGAGUGAAUUUCCAAGUAUUGGGCCUGCUCUGAUGGGGGCUUGGGGAGGUUGUCCUCACCACCCGCCCUCCUUCUCUGAGGCCUGAGUGGCCUAAUUCCCUCUGGGUACAGAGGGACUCCUUCAGCUCCCUAACAGUGCUGCCCUGGGUCUUUUCAGGGAGAAUUUGACUUUAGGAACAGGGAACAUGGACUUACCCCACUAGAUCUCACUUCUCCUACUCACAGCUACACCACUCUUACGUCAGCCUCCUUCCAGGCGCCACUCGGCCAGGGGUCCACAGUUCUUCCCCUGCUACCAACCAGCCCAGUGGGGAAAUACCUCCCACGACUGCCAGUUUUUGUGUUUUUGUGUGUGUGUGUGUGUUUUUUUUUUUUUUUAACCAGGAACUUACAGAUUAACUUCAUUAACUGCGUGAAGGAAUUGUCCUGAACUCAGUCUCUGUGGCCAACCUAGCCUCCAGGAUCUCUAGGAUGCUAGGAAGGGAGUGGAGACCCUUGGACCAGGCUAACCACCAUGUGCCAUCCUCCACACACCCCUGCCCACAGGACUAGGAAUUCCUGCAGUGUAGGGACUCUGUCUGCUGCCUGGCACAGAAUGGUUGCCCAAACAUACUUCUUGAGUCUCAUGGCUCCCUGGACCCCCAAAAGUUAUGAAAACUAAACCAGAGCUGAGAACUGGGCUAGGAUGGAAUUGCCUGUCAACCCGAGGG